AACAUCUUUUGAGCCACAGACUUCUUUGUUACCAGAAGGAAAAUGAAAGAAGAAAUUUAAAUACCACUUGAAGAGAGCAGCCCAUCCUCCUCCCCUGGACUCAAGCUCUCAUUCCAGUAACACUCCUUCCUCCUUCUCCAUCUUCAGGGGGAGGUUUGCCAGUCGGUGCUGCCCAGUUCAUGAGUGCUGCUGCUGUCCUGCCCAAGUACCCAGCUUGCAGAGUGCCAGAGUUAGAGUCCCAGGGGUGUUCUCCACAGCUGCAUGCUUGAUCCAGGCCUAUCAGAUAUAUUCCAUUGAAAGUCCUCAUUCUCAAAUUUAAAACAAAGACUUUUUGUGUACCUCAAUAGCAAUGCACACACAGUUGGCUUCACAAACAUAUUGUACAUUUCUUUUUUUCAUAUUUAUUCAACAAAUGUAUAUUGACUACCCACCGUGUGACAGGUGUUAUUUGUUGACGGAACCAGGCAUCAUCAGCAAACAAAACUGACAAAGCUUCCUGCCCUCUGUGGAAGGCAUCUGAGGAAGAGACUGGAUUUUGUAGCAACAUGUUAUUCUCAUUAUAAACUUUAUCAUUGGAAUACUAAAGCCAAAUCAUCCCCCAUCUCCUUGAUCAGGAUACCCACUUAAUCUAGGCAGCUACACAAUUGUGAGAGCCUUUGUUUUUUUCUGCUGAAACAUCCUUAAAAAGAUACCUCACAACCCAAGAUUUGGCUUUUCUUAAAUACGAUUUUUAAUUUUUUUCAUUUCUAUCUAGAGAUUUAAUUGGAAAUGGAAAAUCAUCAAUUUUCCAAUUAAAUGUCUGUUCCAAUCAACAUUAUACCUUUUAGGUUGUCAUUGUCAUUUUUAAGUUUAAGCAACUUUAAGGAUUUUGAAUCUGGCUGCCUGUAAAUUAAAGGUGAAAGUAAUCAUUGUGUUGGAUUGGAACAUUUUGUCAAUUGAGAGUGGUUUCCUUGUUCUUAGUGUAUGAAAAGUUUAUUUUUCUAAUGUAGAUUAAUAAAGGAGAUAAAGAAAAACAAAAUGAGU
This 1023-nucleotide long non-coding RNA is filed under the name Homo sapiens (human). Its description in RNAcentral is "synapse stability regulating cerebellar lncRNA". The record is from RNAcentral. Lineage: Eukaryota; Metazoa; Chordata; Mammalia; Primates; Hominidae.